AACGAACGCUGGCGGCAUGCCUAACACAUGCAAGUCGAACGAGACCUUCGGGUCUAGUGGCGCACGGGUGCGUAACGCGUGGGAACCUGCCCUUAGGUUCGGAAUAACUCCCCGAAAGGGGUGCUAAUACCGGAUAAUGUCUUCGGACCAAAGAUUUAUCGCCUUUGGAUGGGCCCGCGUUGGAUUAGCUAGUUGGUAGGGUAAAAGCCUACCAAGGCGACGAUCCAUAGCUGGUCUGAGAGGAUGAUCAGCCACACUGGGACUGAGACACGGCCCAGACUCCUACGGGAGGCAGCAGUGGGGAAUAUUGGAAAGUGGGCGAAAGGCUGAUCCAGCAAUGCCGCGUGAGUGAUGAAGGCCUUAGGGUUGUAAAGCUCUUUUACCCGGGAUGAUAAUGACAGUACCGGGAGAAUAAGCUCCGGCUAACUACGUG
RNAcentral lists this ribosomal RNA (433 nucleotides) under uncultured bacterium. RNAcentral's name for it is "partial 16S ribosomal RNA". It matches the Rfam family "Bacterial small subunit ribosomal RNA", at positions 29 to 507 of the family's 1533-position model. The record is from RNAcentral.